RNAcentral lists this ribosomal RNA (421 nucleotides) under uncultured bacterium. RNAcentral's name for it is "bacterial SSU rRNA". It matches the Rfam family "Bacterial small subunit ribosomal RNA", at positions 356 to 774 of the family's 1533-position model. The record is from RNAcentral.
AAGGAAUAUUGGACAAUGGAGGCAACUCUGAUCCAGCCAUGCUGCGUGAAGGAAUAAGGCCCUAUGGGUUGUAAACUUCUUUUAGACGGGACAAAACCCCUUUACGUGUAAAGGGUUGAUGGUACUGUCAGAAUAAGCAUCGGCUAACUUCGUGCCAGCAGCCGCGGUAAUACGAAGGAUGCAAGCGUUAUCCGGAAUUAUUGGGUUUAAAGGGUGCGUAGGCGGACUAAUAAGUCAGUGGUGAAAGCCUGCAGCUUAACUGCAGAAUUGCCAUUGAUACUGUUAGUCUUGAGUACAGUUGAGGUAGGCGGAAUGUGUCAUGUAGCGGUGAAAUGCUUAGAUAUGACACAGAACACCGAUUGCGAAGGCAGCUUGCUAAGCUGUAACUGACGCUGAGGCACGAAAGCGUGGGGAGCAAACA